Molecule: ribosomal RNA, 460 nt
Filed under: uncultured bacterium
Lineage: Bacteria
Description: partial 16S ribosomal RNA
Rfam family: Bacterial small subunit ribosomal RNA
Source: RNAcentral
CCUACGGGUGGCAGCAGUGAGGCAUAUUGGUCAAUGGGCUUACGCCUGAACCAGCCAAGUCGCGUGAGGGAAGACUUCCCUAUGGGUUGUAAACCUCUUUUGUCAGGGAGCAAUUUGCGCUACGUGUAGCGUUAUCGAGAGUACCUGUAGAAAAAGCCUCGGCUAACUCCGUGCCAGCAGCCGCGGUAAUACGGAGGAUGUGAGUGUUAUCCGGUUUUAUUGUGUUUAAAGGGUGUGUAGGAGGAAGGCCAACUCAGCGGUAAAAUCGCGGGGCUCAACCUCGCUCCGCGGUUGAAAAUGGCGUUCUUGAGUGGGCGAGAAGUAGGCGGAAUGAGUGGUGUAGCGGUGAAAUGCAUAGAGAGCACGAAGAACUCCGAUUGCGAAGGCAGCAUACCGGAGCCCAACUGACGCUGAAGCACGAAAGCGUGGGUAUCGAACAGGAUUAGAUACCCGUGUAGUC